This is a long non-coding RNA of Melanotaenia boesemani (Boeseman's rainbowfish), 426 nucleotides long. RefSeq lists it as uncharacterized. Lineage: Eukaryota; Metazoa; Chordata; Actinopteri; Atheriniformes; Melanotaeniidae. The record is from RefSeq and is a predicted model, not a curated record. The transcript is spliced from 2 exons.
AAUGCAUCACUCACCAAGUUCCAGAAGAAGACAAACAUAAUAGCAUACACCAGAGAUGUAAAUGAUAAACAUAGCAUGUUUAACUACCAUAAAGAUUUAAUAAAAAUCAAAAAAUGGCUACAGCAAGGCAUAUGACAAGAAGACCGAUGUGAAACAAAGAAUAAUGGCCGAUGUAUCAUGACCACAAAGGGACACACAUAACCAAAAUGUGACACAAAAGAAGCAGAGGUGAAAAGUUACUAAAACUGACCCACAAAGAAACCACAAAGGGACAUAAAGCAAUCAAAAUUAGACACAAGACAGCAAAUAAUUAGCAGAAAAAUGACCAAUAUAAUAUACAUUAAAACCAUGAAGAAAUACAGAUCUCAAUAAAAGAAAUACAAAAUGAACAACAAAAGUGUGUUAUGAUGCAAAACAUAUUCAACA